GGAUUCUUGAGUAGCCUUUGGAACAGAAUAGGCAUAGUCCUUGUUCUCAAGUGUUUGAGGAGAGAAGAGCAUGGUGAUUUUGAAGUUAGGUUUCUCCCAAUUUAGGGCCACAGAAAUGUUGCCCUUUGCAAUAACAGCACCUGUGCCUGAAAUGAUCUCAACUGCAUGGAUCCAAUUAUUUGAAAAUUGUGAUAACUCACAGGCACAUCUCAGCACUCUUCCCUUUCUUUGGCAAAAGGUUAGAAAGCUGACCAGGGGAAGAGGAGCCCAGACUCUGGGCUUCCUUGAGGUGCAUUCAGUGGAAAGAGAAAAGCAGCCUCCAGGGGACCUCAAGGAGCAGCCCUGAGCAUUUCUUCCUAGACACUGUCUAGAUAUCAUAAAGAAUACAGUGAAUGCUGCUGCUGAAUGCCACCCAAUGGACGAGCAGGCUCAUCGAAACAUUAGUGUGUCCCCAUCCUCCUUGUUUACUGGAUCUGGCACCAGGAGACUUUGGGCUGUUCCCGAAGUCAAAAGGACAAUGAAAGAAAUAUGGUGAAGACCAGAGAAAAUGUGUGCAGAGAAGGCAGUGCGGGACCUGGAAACAGAAGAUUCUCAGUGAUCAGUGGCACAGUGAACUCUGUUUCGUGUGGAGCUAUUCCUUGUAUUUCAGUUCUAGUGGUUUCAAUCAAAAAUAACAACUGCCCAUUAUUUGAACAUGUGCUCUGCUUUCAUGCUUUACACACAUCAUCUCUACUCUUGACAGUAAUAAUUCAAGGAGAAUUAUGAAAGACAUACAAUUGUUUUGAAUUUCAAACCAAUUUACCUGUGUAACUAAAGAAGUGGUAAGAUGCUCAGUAGGAAAAAGUGGAAACUGACCCAGUGAAUGCCAGAACAGAGAGUGGAUCCAAUUACAGCUCUCCCUGGGACACAGAGCCCAGGACUGUUUUUCAAAUGAUCAAGUUUUUGAGAAGUUUGACCCUUCCUCUAACAGCCUGGUGGCCUCUUAUCUUAACCUGGAAAAAUCCCUCCAGGGUAUCACAGUUAAAAGCAACUUUCUCCUGGGCCGGGGAUUUAGCUUAGCGGCGCUGCACCUGGCUGGCAAGCAAAGGGCCCUGAGUUUGAUUCCCGGUACCAAAAAGAAAAAAACAAAAACUGUCAACAAAACCAAGUUUGUCCCAUUUGUGAGGUGUCAAUAUCAUGUCUGUGGUCAGCAAGUGGAAUUGAAGCAAAACUAAAUUUAAAAAAAAUUCCUCCCACAUAUUUAGAUUAAGUAUUUGCAUUAUCUCCGUCCUUUAACAUUUGUUCUAUAGCUGCCUCUUGCCAAGAGCUUGGUGGGUGAGUCCAGGCCUUUGUGCUCAGGGCAGCAAGAAUGAUGAGUGUCACACGGUGAGACUUGCAGAGCCCCAGACGCUUUCCCAGCACCCGGUGUGUGUCUGCAUGGGACACUGGGCGUACAAAAGUGAGGAGCAGGCUACCCGACCCUUACAGGCUUGCAGUCUGAGCAACAUAGAGUGAGAGAGAUAUAAUGCAGCCACAUGUAUAUGUAAUUUAAUUUUUUUCUAGCAGCCACAUAAAAACGAAACAGGGAACUUCCAUUUCAAAUGGAAAGGAGAAUAAGAAAUGGAGGGAGGGUGAAGGGAGGGCAGGGAAAGGGGAUGAAAAGAGAGAGAGAGAGAAUUGAAGAAAAAAGUGGAAAUAGAGCUUUUGUAAAUGCAAAGGGACCAAGAGUUGGAAGGAGCAGGGAGGGAUGGAAGGGGCAGGGACAAGAAAGGAAUGAAGAUAUAUUGUGUACAUGUACCAACUCCCCAUGAUAAAUGUACUUUUCUUUUUUUUUUUU
Heterocephalus glaber (naked mole-rat) is the source of this 1816-nucleotide long non-coding RNA. The record is from Ensembl. NCBI's taxonomy places the organism in Eukaryota, Metazoa, Chordata, Mammalia, Rodentia, Bathyergidae.